AUGGAGAGAUGCUUUCUACUGAUUCUUAUAUCCACACCAGGUGUUUUGUCUGACAGCAUUCAACCAACAGACAAGCAAACUAAUGUUGACAAAAAAGAAGCAGAGCGUGUAACACUGAGCUGCUCAUAUGAUACAAGGGGCGAGUAUGUCGAUCUCUACUGGUACAGACAGUAUCCUAAUAGAGAACCAGAAUAUUUACUGCGUAAGGUGCCCGUUCGUGGAGUAGUUACAAUCAUAUGCAGAUCCUCAGUUUUCAGGCGACUUCAUCCCAAACCUCCACUGAACUCACUAUUACUGCUGUAACUCUGUCAGAUUCAGCUCUCUAUUAUUGUGCUCUAAGAGUUGGAGCCCAGUGA
Molecule: non-coding RNA, 356 nt
Organism: Danio aesculapii
Lineage: Eukaryota; Metazoa; Chordata; Actinopteri; Cypriniformes; Danionidae
Source: the annotation of a RefSeq genome assembly